RNAcentral lists this ribosomal RNA (568 nucleotides) under uncultured bacterium. Its description in RNAcentral is "bacterial SSU rRNA". It matches the Rfam family "Bacterial small subunit ribosomal RNA", at positions 338 to 916 of the family's 1533-position model. The record is from RNAcentral.
CCUACGGGAGGCAGCAGUGGGGAAUAUUGGGCAAUGGAGGAAACUCUGACCCAGCGACGCCGCGUGCGGGAUGAAGGCCUUCGGGUUGUAAACCGCUUUCAGUAGGGAAGAAGCGAAAGUGACGGUACCUACAAAAGAAGCACCGGCUAACUAUGUGCCAGCAGCCGCGGUAAUACAUAGGGUGCAAGCGUUGUCCGGAAUUAUUGGGCGUAAAGAGCUCGUAGGUCGUUUGUUACGUCGGAUGUGAAAACCUGAGGCUCAACCUCAGGCCUGCAUUCGAUACGGGCAAACUAGAGUUUGGUAGGGGAGACUGGAAUUCCUGGUGUAGCGGUGGAAUGCGCAGAUAUCAGGAGGAACACCAAUGGCGAAGGCAGGUCUCUGGGCCAAUACUGACACUGAGGAGCGAAAGUCUGGGGAGCGAACAGGAUUAGAUACCCUGGUAAGUCCAGACCGUAAACGGUGGGCACUAGUUGUGGGAACCUUCCACGGUUUCUGCGACGCAGCUAACGCAUUAAGUGCCCCGCCUGGGGAGUACGAUCGCAAGAUUAAAACUCAAAGGAAUUGACGG